CAGCCGCCGCGGUAAUACGUAGGGUGCGAGCGUUAAUCGGAAUUACUGGGCGUAAAGCGUGCGCAGGCGGUUGUGUAAGACAGGUGUGAAAUCCCCAGGCUCAACCUGGGAAUGGCAAUGGAUACUGGCAAGCUAGAGUGUGUCAGAGGAUGGUGGAAUUCCCGGUGUAGCGGUGAAAUGCGUAGAGAUCGGGAGGAACAUCAGUGGCGAAGGCGGCCAUCUGGGACAACACUGACGCUGAGGCACGAAAGCGUGGGGAGCAAACAGGAUUAGAUACCCGGGUAGUCCCUGUCUCUUAUAC
This 301-nucleotide ribosomal RNA is filed under the name uncultured bacterium. RNAcentral's name for it is "partial 16S ribosomal RNA". It matches the Rfam family "Bacterial small subunit ribosomal RNA", at positions 509 to 807 of the family's 1533-position model. The record is from RNAcentral.